AUUGAACGCUGGCGGCAGGCUUAACACAUGCAAGUCGAGCGAGCGGCGGACGGGUGAGUAAUGUCUGGGAAACUGCCUGCUGGAGGGGGAUAACGGCUGGAAACGGUAGCUAAUACCGCAUACCAUCAGAUGUGCCCAGAUGGGAUUAGCUGGUGGGUGGGGUAAUGGCUCACCUAGGCGACGAUCCCUAGCUGGUCUGAGAGGCGGACCAGCCACACUGGAACUGAGACACGGUCCAGACGCCUACGGGAGGAAGCAGUGGGGAAUAUUGCACAAUGGGCGAAAGCCUGAUGCAGCCAUGCCGCGUGUGGGAAGAAGGCCUUCGGGUUGUAAAGCACUUUCAGCGAGGAGGCGUUACUCGCAGAAGAAGCACCGGCUAACUCCGUGCCAGCAGCCGCGGUAAUUC
Molecule: ribosomal RNA, 406 nt
Filed under: uncultured bacterium
Lineage: Bacteria
Description: partial 16S ribosomal RNA
Rfam family: Bacterial small subunit ribosomal RNA
Source: RNAcentral